GUGCCAGCGAGCCGCGGUAAUACCGGCAGCCCGAGUGAUGGCCGCUCUUAUUGGGCCUAAAGGGUCCGUAGCCGGCCGGGCAAGUCCGUCGGGAAAUCCACCCACUUAACGGGUGGGCGACCGGCGGAAACUGCUCGGCUUGGGACCGGAGGACCCGAGGGGUACGUCCAGGGUAGGAGUGAAAUCCUGUAAUCCUGGACGGACCGCCGGUGGCGAAAGCGCCUCGGGAGGACGGAUCCGACGGUGAGGGACGAAAGCCAGGGUCUCGAACCGGAUUAGAAACCCUUGUAGUCC
Molecule: ribosomal RNA, 294 nt
Filed under: uncultured bacterium
Lineage: Bacteria
Description: partial 16S ribosomal RNA
Rfam family: Archaeal small subunit ribosomal RNA
Source: RNAcentral